Molecule: long non-coding RNA, 1212 nt
Organism: Drosophila mojavensis
Lineage: Eukaryota; Metazoa; Arthropoda; Insecta; Diptera; Drosophilidae
Exons: 3
Source: RefSeq, a predicted model, not a curated record
UUUUAUCUCGAAUCCGCAAUUUUUUUUUUUAUCUCAUUAAGGAUAUUCCAAUAGACAUAAAAACAAUUUUUAUAAAAUUUUGGGGACUUCCCCUAAUGUUUUAAGCUUCGUCAAAGUCAGCUGAUUCAGGGUUGCAUGGUGAAUGGCAAAAAGUGCGCCAAAUUAUUCUCAGCUGUCGACGUAAAAAAACUAUUGCAAUUAAAAUUUACAAACCAAUUUAACUAUGGAAAAUCUUCUUAAAGUUGUAUUUUCAGCCGUAACCUUAAAAAUAUUUGUGUGUUUCGUGGAAGAUAACUUAUAAUGUUAGAGUUUGUUGUUCAAUGUUUAAGUAGCAAGGUAUUCAGUAAACAUUCCUUAAUCAAAUGAUAUAAAGGGUUUUUGCUCCUUUUUGCUCCAUUUGGCGAAAUAUCGUAUGUUGCAGAUACAUACGAGAUUAGCAAUUCAAUGUUGCUAGAAGUUUGGAGCAGCAACAAUAGGCAAGAAAGCGCUGUCAGAAACUACAUUUUGGAAAAUUUAAACAGCGAAUAUAUAUCUGAAGUGCAACUUGACAUUAUUAAAGAGAAAGUCCAUAAUUUGACGUCGUAUAUGAAAUAUAAUUUGAAAAAAUGUAAUCGAAAUAUGAAUCGAUUUAAACAAAAACAUUCUCUUUGGCUAGCUUCUAGUGCUAAGUUUAAAAUACACCGUCAUGACAACAAUAAUAAUAUGGGAGGUCGGAAGAGCUUAAACUAUAAUGAAGCGGGAUCCCGAUUAAGGAGGAAAUUAGCUUCUGAGCUUGCCGAAGAGAGCAAAAACGCAACACCCCUUUUGGUACAUGCUGCUUUGAUUUCAUCAAAAAAAAUCAAAAGAAACCGAAAAAACUUAUCUGUUACAAAAAGCUAUGAGCAAUGAGAAUGUGUGGGAAGCAGAAAAUAAGCAAUCAUCCAUUGCAGUAGUACCUAUAACUGCUGAGGCGGCAUUAGCAUUUUUAAUGGAAAAUGGGUUGUCCAAACAACAAUAUAUCAACAUAUGCUCCCUUCUCGAAGAACCCGAUGUUUAUGCUUCACAAUCAUUAGAUAACAAAGAUGAUCAAUCUGAGAAUGAAGAAGAGGAAGAAGAACAGAAUGUAAUCUCUUCUGAACUGGACGGCAUCGAAUUGGAAGAAGAAAAUGAAGACUAUUAGAAACUAAUUAACAGAUUUGCGAAUCGCGAAUAUAUAUGUAGUAAAUUAUUUAU